Molecule: ribosomal RNA, 416 nt
Filed under: Diporochaeta n. sp. 1 TRB-2010
Lineage: Eukaryota; Metazoa; Annelida; Clitellata; Crassiclitellata; Megascolecidae
Description: partial 16S ribosomal RNA
Rfam family: Bacterial large subunit ribosomal RNA
Source: RNAcentral
CUGCCCAGUGAUAUUAUUCAACGGCCGCGGUAUCCUAACCGUGCAAAGGUAGCAUAAUCACUUGCCUAUUAAUUGUAGGCUAGAAUGAACGGAUCAACGAAAUAAAAACUGUCUCAAUUAGUAAACUAAAAAUUAUUCUCUAUAUGAAGAAAAAUAGAUAUAUUCGAAGGACAAGAAGACCCUAUAGAGCUUUAUCUCAAAUGUGGGGUAAAACUACAUAAGAGAUUCGGUUGGGGCGACCAAGGGAAUAUUUAUCACCCUGAAACACCCAGAUAAAUUAAUCAAAAUAGUGACCCUAAUAAGAUCAAAAAAUCAAGUUACCUUAGGGAUAACAGGCUAAUCCUACUAAAGAGUCCAUAUCGACAGUAGGGUUUGGCACCUCGAUGUUGGCUUAGGGAAUCAAUAUAGCGCAAAAG